RNAcentral lists this ribosomal RNA (411 nucleotides) under uncultured bacterium. RNAcentral describes it as "bacterial SSU rRNA". It matches the Rfam family "Bacterial small subunit ribosomal RNA", at positions 335 to 762 of the family's 1533-position model. The record is from RNAcentral.
ACUCCUACGGGAGGCAGCAGUGGGGAAUAUUGGACAAUGGGCGAAAGCCUGAUCCAGCCAUGCCGCGUGAGUGACGAAGGCCUUAGGGUUGUAAAACUCUUUUGCGGGGACGAUAAUGACGGUACCCGCAGAAUAAGCCCCGGCUAACUUCGUGCCAGCAGCCGCGGUAAUACGAAGGGGGCUAGCGUUGUUCGGAAUCACUGGGGCGUAAAGCGCACGUAGGCGGACUGGUCAGUUGGGGGUGAAAUCCCAGGGGCUCAACCCUGGAACUGCCUCCAAUACUGCCAGUCUUGAGUCCGAGAGAGGUGAGUGGAAUUCCUAGUGUAGAGGUGAAAUUCGUAGAUAUUAGGAAGAACACCAGUGGCGAAGGCGGCUCACUGGCUCGGUACUGACGCUGAGGUGCGAAAGCGU